AAUUUCAAACCUAAUACAACUACCUCUCCAAAACGGCCGGUCGUGAAAAUUGUAUUCUUCACUUCAAAAACCCAACCAAAAGUCGACAGAUUCAUCUCCACCUCCGGCGGCCCCUCAACACCCGUCGUCGACAGGUUGUCUUUCGCCAAAUGAGUGCAUCUCCAAAGCCGACGUUGAGUAUCGUCGAUUAAGCCGAAUUUGCCAUCACCACUGUGUUCUUCAUCAUAGGUUGCAGGCAAUUGAAUCGGGCCCCUUUUGCAAUCCCCAAGCACUUGCCCAUUCCGUCAAAGCAGCGAACAGGUCAACCAUCUCCUCCUCAACUCCAUCUGCCGCUAAAUGAGCUUGUUGACCAAAAAAAACAACCACCACAGCUAUUCCCAUUCAGGUAAGAGUUUAACUUCAUCUUCAUGCUGUCAUUUUAGCGCUUUUUCUGGAAAAUGAAAUAUUUUUUUGUUGUUGCCCUGCAUCCCUGCAUCUACCCGUUUAUUAUCUUGAAGAAGGUUGGGCCAAUUCUUAUUUUGCAAUAGUACGUUCUUCAUAAUGUAUACAUUAUUUAUGUAAUUCAGAUUUUCCAUUUAGUUAGUGCGUCAACAUGAAAACCGAUUAAUUGUUCGUUGUUGAUUUGCAUACUAGAAUGCCAGGGAAGAAUUCAGGUGUCUGCCAUAGUUGUAGAGGCAAGGGACACUUCUUUGCCGAAUGCCCGAUCAAAGUGCGAUGUCCAUUGUGUAAGCAUGGAUAUCAGAAAAUGGGCAAAUCACAGACACAAAGAUUGAGCUUACCUCACUCACCAAUAAGUCACGGCUUCGAGGCUUUUUGGCCUUUCGAACUACUGCCAGGGGUUUACAUCAUGUGGGAGAGAGUUGGAAGUUGAGAAUAUGUUCCGGCAACGGUUCCAAUUUCUAGAUUUCUCGCUUCGACAGAAUCGGUGCAAUGAUGGCUGUGAUAAUUCAGAAAUCGUCAAUUGUUGUUGGAGGUGGAAAAGAUAGAUGGUUAGACGGCAGUGGAGCAGGUAGCAGUCGUCGGAAGAGUGAGCCUGCGUUUUGCUAUUUUGGGCGAAAGGGAAUAGUGAGCUUGCUGUUUUGUUAUUUUUUUGGGAGGAAUGAAAUGCAUUUACUCGGAGUCAGACUCAUUUACUCCACAAUCGUUUUUCUUAUUUUUUUAUUGGCAACACGUCACAUUUUUAAAUUACCCUAUAAAACCCCUGACAUAUCAUUCGGUACACCAAUCUUAAUUCUUCUUUAUAUGGUUCUAGAUGGCAUACCUAGCAAAUCCUUUGUACUUGGAAACUCCUCUUAAAAAACCACUACUCUUUCUACAAUAAAAAUUCAAAGUUUUGGUUAUAUAUCAUAUCCAUGUGACAAACCAAAAAUCCUUAUUACAUCAAACAAAAUAGAGAAAAUCAUACCUCCUCCGUGACGCUAGGUACUCUUAUUUCGUGAUAGUCUGCAUAUGUUCAAGUUCUUUCUCGUAAUCAGAGAUCUGAAGAACAGGAAAUUGAUAAUAACUUGUCCGAGCCUUACAUGACACGGAUUAAACUUUAAUCCCUACUUUCAAGAACAAACAUAAUCUGAAAACACAAAGUAGGCAAAGAUUUAUAGUGGUUUGUCCUUAAUGUGAGAGCUAUAUUUACUUGCCUUUGCACGUUUUUAUAGUAAUGAACACAAAAAAAUGGCCCCUAAGUAAAUCCUUUAUACUGUAAGAAGUUAGGUUGAUCCAUGGAAGAAUAAAUUUAUAUUAGGCUUAACACAUUCCACACCAUAAUAUAUUUGCAUGCACACAGUCUGAUGUAGACAUAUGGCGGACAAUCCUACCGAAAAAUUUGUAAAGGUCGAUGUCCCCCAAUACUUCAGUGCAGCUAAAUCAUAUGCUCUUGUUGUAUCUUCCUCAUCAUUAUAAGCCCCUAAAGAAUUUUGAUAAUGAAAAUUACCUCAAAUCUAUGUUUUAAAAAGGUGUUUUUGUGUGUUUGUUGGGGGAUUGGCGUGGGGUAGGGUGGGAUAGGGUACUCACCAACAUACAUUGUUAAAAAUUGGGGGGGCGAGGUGGGGUACACACCAAGAUACACUGCUAAAUAUGAAUUUUUGCAUCCAAGAACAGUCCGUGAAACAAAAAAUGAAGAUUUUCUUUAUUAGACGCUAGUAUUCAAGCAAAACUCCCUUCUCUUAUAAAAGAGAGAAUACCAAGUACUGUUCAUUCAUGAGUUUUACCUCACAGAUUACUAUUCACUUUCUAUUUUAGCCUUUAAUGCUGUGUUACUAAUUCUCUAGCUGAGGGCUUAAUGGUCUUUGCUCGUAUGGAAAAAUAUCUCUUUUGGAAACGAUAUUAUAUUCUUUCUGGGAAAGCCCAUUGUGCUCCAGAAUAUUUCUGCUUUCUCUAUCAACGAUAGAAAAAAGGAGACAAAACCCUCUGCAACCUCUUGCGAUUUGAAGUGGUGUUUGUAUAUGUUGCUUCGAUUUGCUCAUUUGUAGCGACCUUCAUAAAUCUUGCUGUCAUCUACUGGAUAUUGUAAUAUUUAUAUUCUCUAACUAUUUGGUAUGUCGACUUCAAGUUUUCCUUUAGCUUAUAGUUGGUUCUUUUAAAAAAAAAAAAAAAAACUUUUGUGCUUGUCGAUUUGUCAUUAUUUGAGCUACAAAUCUUCCAUAUUUUGUGUUGAUUUCUCAUUAUUUGAUGUUUAAAUCUUCCGUAUUUUGAAUCAAGUUUUUUUUUCUGUUCUUUAAAUAUUUGUCGACUUCUGAUGUUUUUAGUUUCAAACUUCUAUAUAUAAUUUUCGAACUGAUUUUUCCUUCCCCUAUUUCAGUGUGUGUAUAUAUAUAUGUAUAUAUAUAUAUUCUACAUAUUUUGGAGGCGAAGAACGAGGCGAAGCAUGAAGAUAAAGGUGGAUUAUGCAAAUUUAUUGAAGAAUAUUCAUCCAUUUUCAAAAUUCAAGCCAAGAAAUUGGAUUUCUC
Molecule: long non-coding RNA, 2942 nt
Filed under: Olea europaea (common olive)
Lineage: Eukaryota; Viridiplantae; Streptophyta; Magnoliopsida; Lamiales; Oleaceae
Description: long non-coding RNA (OEUR_LNC005656)
Source: RNAcentral